Molecule: ribosomal RNA, 251 nt
Filed under: uncultured prokaryote
Description: partial 16S rRNA
Rfam family: Bacterial small subunit ribosomal RNA
Source: RNAcentral
ACGGAGGGUGCGAGCGUUAAUCGGAAUCACUGGGCGUAAAGCGCACGUAGGCGGUGUCGUAAGUCGGAUGUGAAAGCCCUCGGCUCAACCGGGGAACUGCAUUCGAUACUGCGAUGCUUGAGUGCCGGAGAGGGUGGCGGAAUUCCAGGUGUAGGGGUGAAAUGCGUAGAUAUCAGGAGGAACACCAGUGGCGAAGGCGACCUCCUGGACGGUAACUGACGCUGAGGUGCGAAAGCGUGGGUAGCAAACAG